Molecule: non-coding RNA, 72 nt
Organism: Magnetospirillum moscoviense
Lineage: Bacteria; Pseudomonadati; Pseudomonadota; Alphaproteobacteria; Rhodospirillales; Rhodospirillaceae
Source: Rfam
GGGCGGUUAGCUCAGCGGUAGAGCACUACGUUGACAUCGUAGGGGUCACAAGUUCGAUCCUUGUACCGCCCA